RNAcentral lists this long non-coding RNA (1285 nucleotides) under Nicotiana benthamiana. RNAcentral describes it as "long non-coding RNA (NBEN_LNC020522)". The record is from RNAcentral. Lineage: Eukaryota; Viridiplantae; Streptophyta; Magnoliopsida; Solanales; Solanaceae.
GCUUGAGCUUUAUAUUGGUAAAGGAUCUAAUUAAUUACCUAAUUUAGCAUGAUUUCGGGAUCCUCUAUCCAUCAAUUAUGAAGUUGCUUGUUAUUCAUAGAAUAAAGAGUGAGACACGCAGAAUGUCUCCUUAUCCUAUAAUUACCAACUCCUGAUCAACACUUAAACAAUAUGAUAACAGAACACAACCGACUUCCGUUCCUUUUCCUUGACUAAUGCAAUACAGGAAGCUCGAAUUUAUUUGCUUCAUGAGGCAGUUGAAAUUUUAUGAUUACAAUACGUAAUGAUAAAGCUACACUAUAUCUAACUAACGAAUGAACAUCAGUCGAGCAAUCCAAGUUUGAUUACAAAUGUUAUCUAGAAAAUGUGCAAAUUAGUACAAUUCAAAUUACAACUAAUUCAGAAUCUCAAACUAGAACAACAGGUGGACAUUUUAUUCCAUGACUUGAGCUCAAAAUCACAGCAGAAGUACAGAUCUGAGUACCUGGAAUUCGAGACAACAGAAAGAAGAGUGAGGAUCGACAGAUAAAGCAAUAUCAACAGUGUUUCAGUAGUAAAAUCUACCCAAAAAACUAUCAGAAGGAAUCCAUUUGAACCCACUUGAAACCAAACAACAUCAAUAGACACCAGCCAUCAGAAAUACACCCCAAAUAAGCUCAAAUGAACCAGAGAAUACUUCAAAUCUCAGAGAUUCCAGACAUCAGCAGCAGAAAAUCAAUGAAACAGUAGAUGUAUUUAUGGUUUUUCCAUUUCUGAAUGUUUUUAUUUUUUUGCGUGCUUGAAUGCCAAAGUUAAUAUGGAAUUGAAAACUGAAGGAGAAGGAGUUUUUCUAUGGGACUUUUGGCUGAAAGGUCAAGCAACGAACUCAGAACUUCAGUAGCAAUUUCAGGACUCAACAACACCCCAAAUGAACUCGAAAUGACAUACCAAAACAAACCUCGAACCUCACCACCCAAAACAACAACAAAAUGAACUCGAAUUCAAAUGCAAACAGCUUCUAAUUCUCAGCAACCCUUUGUUGAAUCCAAAGAUCGAAUUACACUACUCAAACUUGAAUUUAAACUAAAAUAAACAAUAGAGCAGUGACUUUGUUUUGGUUUUCUUUUUUUUGUAUUUUGAAUAUGAAGAGAGCUGAAAUUUGAAGUCUGGAUUCAAAUUUCAGAUCUUCAAGACUUGAAGAGCUUCUGAGGGAUUUUUAGGCUGCCCAAACUUGAUUUUUCUUCUCUAAAAUUAGGAUUUGAGAGAGUUUUUCAGAAUUUUUUCUCAUUGUGAAUUCCCCCCCNNN